GUGGGGAAUCUUGCGCAAUGGGCGAAAGCCUGACGCAGCCAUGCCGCGUGAAUGAUGAAGGUCUUAGGAUUGUAAAAUUCUUUCACCGGGGACGAUAAUGACGGUACCCGGAGAAGAAGCCCCGGCUAACUUCGUGCCAGCAGCCGCGGUAAUACGAAGGGGGCUAGCGUUGCUCGGAAUUACUGGGCGUAAAGGGAGCGUAGGCGGACAGUUUAGUCAGAGGUGAAAGCCCAGGGCUCAACCUUGGAAUUGCCUUUGAUACUGGCUGUCUUGAGUUUGGGAGAGGUGUGUGGAACUCCGAGUGUAGAGGUGAAAUUCGUAGAUAUUCGGAAGAACACCAGUGGCGAAGGCGACACACUGGCCCAAUACUGACGCUGAGGCUCGAAAGCGUGGGGAGCAAACAGGAUUAGAUACCCUAGUAGUCC
Molecule: ribosomal RNA, 425 nt
Filed under: uncultured bacterium
Lineage: Bacteria
Description: partial 16S ribosomal RNA
Rfam family: Bacterial small subunit ribosomal RNA
Source: RNAcentral